RNAcentral lists this transfer RNA (70 nucleotides) under Caenopedina pulchella. RNAcentral's name for it is "tRNA-Ala". It matches the Rfam family "tRNA". From Rfam's summary of the family: Transfer RNA (tRNA) molecules are approximately 80 nucleotides in length. Their secondary structure includes four short double-helical elements and three loops (D, anti-codon, and T loops). The record is from RNAcentral. Lineage: Eukaryota; Metazoa; Echinodermata; Echinoidea; Pedinoida; Pedinidae.
UGUGGUUUUAGUUUAGAAAAAUAUCUGUUUUGCAAGCAGGAGACCUAAGUUAAAAUCUUAGAAGCUACAA